Molecule: long non-coding RNA, 152 nt
Organism: Diprion similis
Lineage: Eukaryota; Metazoa; Arthropoda; Insecta; Hymenoptera; Diprionidae
Exons: 4
Source: RefSeq, a predicted model, not a curated record
GAACAUGUAUUCAAAAAGAGCAAAAUAGAGGUUGGGUGGGGUAGAAAAAUGCGUAAGAUUAAAAAGUCGACGGAACCAAAAUCCCGAAAGUCAAACUACCGAGAGUUAAAAACGUAGAAAGACCAUAAAUACGAAAAGAUGACUUGUAGAAA